Molecule: long non-coding RNA, 523 nt
Filed under: Erythranthe guttata (spotted monkey flower)
Lineage: Eukaryota; Viridiplantae; Streptophyta; Magnoliopsida; Lamiales; Phrymaceae
Description: long non-coding RNA (EGUT_LNC001822)
Source: RNAcentral
AAAAUCUUCCAUAUUCUCCAAAACCCUUAUCACAUAAAACCCUCAAAUCUUACUAAAACUUGAAAAGAAGGACAUUAUGGAUGCACAAGACAUAAAUAUGGAGGAUUCUAAGGUCGAAGAACACAAAGAGGUAAGAAAUAUUGUACUUUGUGAUCGUUUUUCUCGUUUUUCGCACCUCAUUUCACGUACAAAAAAAUCGACAUGUACAGGUCGAAAUAUCAGCUUUAUAUCGACACUGCAGUGUCGAAAAUGUCAAAAUAAUUCGACACUGCAGUGUCGAAAAUGUCAAAAUAAUUCGACACUCAUUAAGUGUCGAAUUAUAUUGAAAUUAUCGACAUUCUGGUGUCGAUAUUAAGCGGAUAUUUCGACGCUAGUGUGUCGAAUUAUCACUGUUACAAUUGUGUAACCAAUUUUUCGAUUUUUCUUGCAGAGUUUUGUACCAGAAAUUUGUUUAAACAAUCGACACCAGUGUGUCGAAAAUUUUCCAAAAAACCGACAAGUACAGGUCGAUUUUUGUAAAACC